GCCAUGCCGCGUGUGUGAAGAAGGCCUUCGGGUUGUAAAGCACUUUCAGCGGGGAGGAAGGCGNUGAGGUUAAUAACCUCAUCGAUUGACGUUACCCGCAGAAGAAGCACCGGCUAACUCCGUGCCAGCAGCCGCGGUAAU
RNAcentral lists this ribosomal RNA (141 nucleotides) under uncultured Klebsiella sp. RNAcentral describes it as "partial 16S ribosomal RNA". It matches the Rfam family "Bacterial small subunit ribosomal RNA", at positions 391 to 524 of the family's 1533-position model. Lineage: Bacteria; Pseudomonadati; Pseudomonadota; Gammaproteobacteria; Enterobacterales; Enterobacteriaceae. The record is from RNAcentral.